GAAUUCACUAGUGAUUCAGGCCUAACACAUGCAAGUCGAGCGGUAGAGAGAAGCUUGCUUCUCUUGAGAACGGCGGACGGGUGAGUAAUGCCUAGGAAUCUGCCUGGUAGUGGGGGAUAACGUUCGGAAACGGACGCUAAUACCGCAUACGUCCUACGGGAGAAAGCAGGGGACCUUCGGGCCUUGCGCUAUCAGAUGAGCCUAGGUCGGAUUAGCUAGUUGGUGAGGUAAUGGCUCACCAAGGCGACGAUCCGUAACUGGUCUGAGAGGAUGAUCAGUCACACUGGA
RNAcentral lists this ribosomal RNA (288 nucleotides) under uncultured bacterium. RNAcentral's name for it is "partial 16S ribosomal RNA". It matches the Rfam family "Bacterial small subunit ribosomal RNA", at positions 43 to 317 of the family's 1533-position model. The record is from RNAcentral.